Molecule: transfer RNA, 72 nt
Filed under: Cavia porcellus (domestic guinea pig)
Lineage: Eukaryota; Metazoa; Chordata; Mammalia; Rodentia; Caviidae
Rfam family: tRNA
About the family: Transfer RNA (tRNA) molecules are approximately 80 nucleotides in length.
Source: Rfam by way of RNAcentral
AGAGGUGUAGCUCAGUGGUAGAGCAUUUGCCUUGCAUGCACAAGGUCCUGAGUUCAAUUCCUAGUACAACCC